GGUUUCUCUGAAGCCCAACCUCCCACCCGUGUAUACCGUACCCUGUUGCUUCGGCGGGCCCGCCUCACGGCCGCCGGGGGACCUCGCGUCCCCGGGCCCGCGCCCGCCGAAGACCCCAACACGAACACUGUCUGAAAAGUGCAGUCUGAGUCGAUUGUUACCAAUCAGUCAAAACUUUCAACAAUGGAUCUCUUGGUUCCGGCAUCGAUGAAGAACGCAGCGAAAUGCGAUAACUAAUGUGAAUUGCAGAAUUCAGUGAAUCAUCGAGUCUUUGAACGCACAUUGCGCCCCCUGGUAUUCCGGGGGGCAUGCCUGUCCGAGCGUCAUUGCUGCCCUCAAGCACGGCUUGUGUGUUGGGCCCCGUCCCCGGUACCCCCGGGGACGGGCCCGAAAGGCAGCGGCGGCACCGCGUCCGGUCCUCGAGCGUAUGGGGCUUUGUCACCCGCUCUGCAGGCCCGGCCGGCGCCAGCCGACCAACCCAACCAUUUUUUACAGGUUGACCUCGGAUCAGGUAGGGAUACCCGCUGAACUUAAGCAUAUCAAUAAGCGGAGGAAAAGAAACCAACCGGGAUUGCCUCAGUAACGGCGAGUGAAGCGGCAAGAGCUCAAAUUUGAAAGCUGGCUCCUUCGGGGUCCGCAUUGUAAUUUGCAGAGGAUGCUUCGGGUGCGGCCCCUGUCUAAGUGCCCUGGAACGGGCUGUCAGAGAGGGUGAGAAUCCCGUCUGG
Molecule: small RNA, 725 nt
Filed under: Aspergillus subalbidus
Lineage: Eukaryota; Fungi; Ascomycota; Eurotiomycetes; Eurotiales; Aspergillaceae
Description: eukaryotic LSU rRNA
Rfam family: Eukaryotic large subunit ribosomal RNA (bases 498-725)
Source: RNAcentral